This 404-nucleotide ribosomal RNA is filed under the name bacterium. RNAcentral describes it as "partial 16S ribosomal RNA". It matches the Rfam family "Bacterial small subunit ribosomal RNA", at positions 355 to 776 of the family's 1533-position model. The record is from RNAcentral.
UGGGGAAUCUUGCGCAAUGGGCGAAAGCCUGACGCAGCCAUGCCGCGUGAAUGAUGAAGGUCUUAGGAUUGUAAAAUUCUUUCACCGGGGACGAUAAUGACGGUACCCGGAGAAGAAGCCCCGGCUAACUUCGUGCCAGCAGCCGCGGUAAUACGAAGGGGGCUAGCGUUGCUCGGAAUUACUGGGCGUAAAGGGCGCGUAGGCGGAUAGUUAAGUCAGAGGUGAAAUCCCAGGGCUCAACCCUGGAACUGCCUUUGAUACUGGCGAUCUUGAGUAAUAGAGAGGUAUGUAGAACUCCGAGUGUAGAGGUGAAAUUCGUAGAUAUUCGGAAGAACACCAGUUGCCAAGGCGACAUACUGGCUCAUUACUGACGCUGAGGCGCGAAAGCGUGGGGAGCAAACAGG